This 556-nucleotide ribosomal RNA is filed under the name Salmonella enterica subsp. enterica serovar Oranienburg. RNAcentral's name for it is "bacterial LSU rRNA". It matches the Rfam family "Bacterial large subunit ribosomal RNA", at positions 329 to 890 of the family's 2925-position model. The record is from RNAcentral. Lineage: Bacteria; Pseudomonadati; Pseudomonadota; Gammaproteobacteria; Enterobacterales; Enterobacteriaceae.
UUAGUGGAAGCGUCUGGAAAGGCGCGCGAUACAGGGUGACAGCCCCGUACACAAAAGCGCAUGUGCUGUGAGCUCGAUGAGUAGGGCGGGACACGUGGUAUCCUGUCUGAAUAUGGGGGGACCAUCCUCCAAGGCUAAAUACUCCUGACUGACCGAUAGUGAACCAGUACCGUGAGGGAAAGGCGAAAAGAACCCCGGCGAGGGGAGUGAAAAAGAACCUGAAACCGUGUACGUACAAGCAGUGGGAGCACCCUUUGGGGUGUGACUGCGUACCUUUUGUAUAAUGGGUCAGCGACUUAUAUUCUGUAGCAAGGUUAACCGAAUAGGGGAGCCGGAGGGAAACCGAGUCUUAACCGGGCGUUAAGUUGCAGGGUAUAGACCCGAAACCCGGUGAUCUAGCCAUGGGCAGGUUGAAGGUUGGGUAACACUAACUGGAGGACCGAACCGACUAAUGUUGAAAAAUUAGCGGAUGACCUGUGGCUGGGGGUGAAAGGCCAAUCAAACCGGGAGAUAGCUGGUUCUCCCCGAAAGCUAUUUAGGUAGCGCCUCGUGAAUU